This 342-nucleotide long non-coding RNA is filed under the name Ananas comosus (pineapple). Its description in RNAcentral is "long non-coding RNA (ACOM_LNC038218)". Lineage: Eukaryota; Viridiplantae; Streptophyta; Magnoliopsida; Poales; Bromeliaceae. The record is from RNAcentral.
AUUUGAGUUUGACAUGUGGCAAGCUUAUAGAAAGAUGCAUGAUAAACAUUUAAUUUGAUUUAAUUGUAUAUAUAAUUAUAAUUUGAUUUAAUAGUGUUUAAUAGUGUUACCUAAUAAAAUUCUAGUUAAUUAUAAUAUAAUUAUAAUAAUAGUGUUUAAUUAAUAGUGAUUUAAUUUGAUUUAAUAGUGUUUCCUAAUCUAUUUAUUAAAUUGCUAUUCUAUUUUGACACGUGGUAAGCAUAUAGAAAGCCACGUGUCAGUUUUAUACCAAGAGUUCUAUUUUAGUAUAUAAUAAAUAGAUUUCUCUAUAUAUUAAUGGUUGGUGGAUUGGUGGGUUGGUAU